This 404-nucleotide ribosomal RNA is filed under the name Actinomycetes bacterium. Its description in RNAcentral is "Actinobacteria bacterium partial 16S ribosomal RNA". It matches the Rfam family "Bacterial small subunit ribosomal RNA", at positions 355 to 776 of the family's 1533-position model. Lineage: Bacteria; Bacillati; Actinomycetota; Actinomycetes. The record is from RNAcentral.
UGGGGAAUAUUGGACAAUGGGCGCAAGCCUGAUCCAGCCAUGCCGCGUGAGUGAUGAAGGCCCUAGGGUUGUAAAGCUCUUUCACCGGUGAAGAUAAUGACGGUAACCGGAGAAGAAGCCCCGGCUAACUUCGUGCCAGCAGCCGCGGUAAUACGAAGGGGGCUAGCGUUGUUCGGAUUUACUGGGCGUAAAGCGCACGUAGGCGGACUUUUAAGUCAGGGGUGAAAUCCCGGGGCUCAACCCCGGAACUGCCUUUGAUACUGGCAGUCUUGAGUAUGGUAGAGGUGAGUGGAAUUCCGAGUGUAGAGGUGAAAUUCGUAGAUAUUCGGAGGAACACCAGUGGCGAAGGCGGCUCACUGGACCAUUACUGACGCUGAGGUGCGAAAGCGUGGGGAGCAAACAGG